RNAcentral lists this ribosomal RNA (430 nucleotides) under uncultured Alphaproteobacteria bacterium. RNAcentral describes it as "bacterial SSU rRNA". It matches the Rfam family "Bacterial small subunit ribosomal RNA", at positions 958 to 1385 of the family's 1533-position model. Lineage: Bacteria; Pseudomonadati; Pseudomonadota; Alphaproteobacteria. The record is from RNAcentral.
AACGCGAAGAACCUUACCAGCUCUUGACAUGUCUCGUAUGGGGACCGGAGACGGUUUCCUUCAGUUCGGCUGGCGGGAACACAGGUGCUGCAUGGCUGUCGUCAGCUCGUGUCGUGAGAUGUUGGGUUAAGUCCCGCAACGAGCGCAACCCUCGCCCUUAGUUGCCAUCAUUCAGUUGGGCACUCUAGGGGGACUGCCGGUGAUAAGCCGAGAGGAAGGUGGGGAUGACGUCAAGUCCUCAUGGCCCUUACGGGCUGGGCUACACACGUGCUACAAUGGCGGUGACAAUGGGAGGCUGAGGGGCGACCCCGAGCAAAUCUCAAAAAGCCGUCUCAGUUCGGAUUGCACUCUGCAACUCGAGUGCAUGAAGGUGGAAUCGCUAGUAAUCGUAGAUCAGAACGCUACGGUGAAUACGUUCCCGGGCCUUGUA